CAGUCGACGGUAACAGGAAGCAGCUUGCUGCUUUGCUGACGAGUGGCGGACGGGUGAGUAAUGUCUGGGAAACUGCCUGAUGGAGGGGGAUAACUACUGGAAACGGUAGCUAAUACCGCAUAACGUCGCAAGACCAAAGAGGGGGACCUUCGGGCCUCUUGCCAUCGGAUGUGCCCAGAUGGGAUUAGCUUGUUGGUGGGGUAACGGCUCACCAAGGCGACGAUCCCUAGCUGGUCUGAGAGGAUGACCAGCCACACUGGAACUGAGACACGGUCCAGACUCCUACGGGAGGCAGCAGUGGGGAAUAUUGCACAAUGGGCGCAAGCCUGAUGCAGCCAUGCCGCGUGUAUGAAGAAGGCCUUCGGGUUGUAAAGACUUUUCAGCGGGGAGGAAGGGAGUAAAGUUAAUACCUUUACUCAUUGACGUUACCCGCAGAAGAAGCACCGGCUAACUCCGUGCCAGCAGCCGCGGUAAUACGGAGGGUGCAAGCGUUAAUCGGAAUUACUGGGCGUAAAGCGCACGCAGGCGGUUUGUUAAGUCAGAUGUGAAAUCCCCGGGCUCAACCUGGGAACUGCAUCUGAUACUGGCAAGCUUGAGUCUCGUAGAGGGGGGUAGAAUUCCAGGUGUAGCGGUGAAAUGCGUAGAGAUCUGGAGGAAUACCGGUGGCG
RNAcentral lists this ribosomal RNA (668 nucleotides) under uncultured bacterium. RNAcentral's name for it is "bacterial SSU rRNA". It matches the Rfam family "Bacterial small subunit ribosomal RNA", at positions 59 to 717 of the family's 1533-position model. The record is from RNAcentral.